GGGCGCGUGGCCAAGCCUGGAUAUGGCAGCAGCCUCCUAAGCUGAAGAUCGAGGGUUCAAAUCCCUCUGCGCCCG
RNAcentral lists this transfer RNA (75 nucleotides) under ANME-2 cluster archaeon. Its description in RNAcentral is "tRNA-Arg". It matches the Rfam family "tRNA". From Rfam's summary of the family: Transfer RNA (tRNA) molecules are approximately 80 nucleotides in length. Lineage: Archaea; Methanobacteriati; Methanobacteriota; Methanomicrobia; Methanosarcinales. RNAcentral also lists the same sequence under 3 other names. The record is from RNAcentral.